This is a long non-coding RNA of Oncorhynchus nerka (sockeye salmon), 2227 nucleotides long. RefSeq lists it as uncharacterized. The transcript is spliced from 2 exons. The record is from RefSeq and is a predicted model, not a curated record. NCBI's taxonomy places the organism in Eukaryota, Metazoa, Chordata, Actinopteri, Salmoniformes, Salmonidae.
CCCUGGAGCAGAGAACAGAGACCCACCGUGGCCCUGACAGGUUCUGACCCCUGGACCAGAGAACAGAGACCCACCGUGGCCCUGACAGGUUCUGACCAGAGAACAGACACCCACCGUGGCCCUGACAGGUUCUGACCAGAGAACAGAGACCCACCGUGGCCCUGACAGGUUCUGACCCCUGGACCAGAGAACAGAGACCCACCGUGGUCCUGACAGGUUCUGACCCCUGGACCAGAGAACAGAGACCCACCGUGGUCCUGACAGGUUCUGACCCCUGGACCAGAGAACAGACAGGUUCUGACCCCUGGACCAGAGAACAGACAGGUUCUGACCCCUGGACCAGAGAACCGAGACCCACCGUGGCCCUGACAGGUUCUGACCCCUGGACCAGAGAACAGAGACCCACCGUGGCCCUGACAGGUUCUGACCCCUGGACCAGAGAACAGACCCACCGUGGCCCUGACAUGUUCUGACCAGAGAACAGAGACCCACCGUGGUCCUGACAGGUUCUGACCCCUGGACCAGAGAACAGACCCACCGUGGCCCUGACAUGUUCUGACCAGAGAACAGAGACCCACCGUGGUCCUGACAGGUUCUGACCCCUGGACCAGAGAACAGAGACACCCACCGUGAAAGCAGCAUCUAUGUGGGGGAAGUUAUCAGAACCCUGGUCAGGAUAGUGAACGGUGGACCAGUCAAUCUUCAUCAUUUCAUUUGCAUCUCCAUAUAUCUUCUCUUCUCAUCAAUAUAGAUGAUUAAUAUGUUGAAGUGUAUAUCAAGAUAUUGUUUAUUUCACUUUUCUUUAAUCCUGCUUCCAUCUCAGCACAGCACAUCUGAUUCCAUCAAUCGUCCAAUCAUCAAGCCCUUUUGAUAAAUUGAUUGAGGUGUGUUAGGCUGGCACAAAACCCUGCACACCCUGUGGUUUUCCAGGACUGGGAUUGAAGGACACUGAUGUGUUUGACUUUGUGUUUGUCAGAAUCAGAGACUGGGGAUGAAUUUUAAUUUAGUUUCUCAGAUUUUUAUAAAGUGCUUUUUUUUACUGAGCGGCUGAUGUUUUGUAUUUAGUCAGUUUUUUUGGUUUUACUGUGUUAUUAUUGACAUUAUUUAACAGAUCAUGAGUUUGUAAAUAUUGAUAAAAGACAGAGAGGAUGAUGUUAUUAUCGUUGGUGGUAAUAUAAUCAGUAUAUAGCACCUUCAUAAGCAGUGCAUGAGGGCUUCAUAGGUAAAAGCAUCAUCUUGAUUCUAGUCCAAUAUGACAUGUACUGACCCAAUCACAACAACCCCAUACCCUUCCAGCAUGUCUUUGAAACUAUCCGACCCAUACAGACCCGUUAAUCUGGGCUAUGGAUCCGUCCACAGGGAUGACGUAGGCCCCUAAGUAUUGCUUAUGAAGGGGACAAGUAGCCUCUAAGUAGGUUUCCUGCUCUAACUCUAAAGAUAUGAUCAUACAUGGACUGUACAUCAGUGGAGUUGUUGCUAAUAGCAACAUGUCAAAAGUAUACCUAAUUGACAUCCCAAAUGGUACCCUAUCCCCUAUAUAGUACACUUCAUUUGACCAGAGUCCUAUGGGUUGAAGCCUAUAUAGUGCACGUCAUUUGACCAGAGCCCUAUGGGUUGAACCCUAUAUAGUGCACUUCAUUUGACCAGAGCUCUAUGGGUUGAACCCUAUAUAGUGCACUUCAUUUGAUCAGAGCCCUAUAUAGUGCACUUCAUUUGACCAGAGCCCUAUAUAGUGCACUUCAUUUGACCAGAGCCCUAUAUAGUGCACUUCAUUUGACCAGAGCCCUAUGGGUUGAACCCUAUAUAGUGCACUUAAUUUGACCAGAGCCCUAUAUAGUGCCCUUCAUUUGACCAGAGCUCUAUGGGUUGAACCCUAUAUAGUGCCCUUCAUUUGACCAGAGCCCUAUAUAGUGCACUUCAUUUGAUCUGAGCCCUAUAUAGUGCACUUCAUUUGACCAGAGCUCUGGGUUGAACCCUAUAUAGUGCUCUUCAUUUGACCAGAGCCCUAUGGGUUGAACCCUAUCCCUUAAGUAGUGCACUAUACAGGGGAAAGCAUGCCAUUUGUGACACAGAGGGACGAUUUGAAUGGAUCUGUUCCAGGGUUUGUUGUGUGUGUGUGUGUAGUGUUUGAAACUAAAACCUGCUAACCAACCAUGUAAUGAACCAUGUAAUGUCUAACAGUAUGAUGGAGGUCACAUGGUUAAAUAAAGCGGAUGUUUGGAACAUG